Molecule: ribosomal RNA, 465 nt
Filed under: Vreelandella stevensii
Lineage: Bacteria; Pseudomonadati; Pseudomonadota; Gammaproteobacteria; Oceanospirillales; Halomonadaceae
Description: partial 16S ribosomal RNA
Rfam family: Bacterial small subunit ribosomal RNA
Source: RNAcentral
CCUACGGGUGGCUGCAGUGGGGAAUAUUGGACAAUGGGGGCAACCCUGAUCCAGCCAUGCCGCGUGUGUGAAGAAGGCCCUCGGGUUGUAAAGCACUUUCAGUGAGGAAGAACGCCUGGUGGUUAAUACCCAUCAGGAAAGACAUCACUCACAGAAGAAGCACCGGCUAACUCCGUGCCAGCAGCCGCGGUAAUACGGAGGGUGCGAGCGUUAAUCGGAAUUACUGGGCGUAAAGCGCGCGUAGGUGGCUUGAUAAGCCGGUUGUGAAAGCCCCGGGCUCAACCUGGGAACGGCAUCCGGAACUGGCAAGCUAGAGUGCAGGAGAGGAAGGUAGAAUUCCCGGUGUAGCGGUGAAAUGCGUAGAGAUCGGGAGGAAUAACAGUGGCGAAGGCGGCCCUCUGGACUGACACUGACACUGAGGUGCGAAAGCGUGGGUAGCAAACAGGAUUAGAUACCCGUGUAGUC